CCUACGGGAGGCAGCAGUGAGGAAUAUUGGUCAAUGGGCGGAAGCCUGAACCAGCCAAGUAGCGUGCAGGAUGACGGCCCUACGGGUUGUAAACUGCUUUUGUACGGGAAUAACGCGCCUUACGUGUAGGGCUUUGCAUGUACCGUAUGAAUAAGGACCGGCUAAUUCCGUGCCAGCAGCCGCGGUAAUACGGAGGGUCCGGGCGUUAUCCGGAUUUAUUGGGUUUAAAGGGAGCGUAGGCGGCGUGUCAAGCGUGCUGUGAAAUGGCCGGGCUCAACCCGGGCCUUGCAGCGCGAACUGGCGGGCUUGAGUCCGUGGAAGGCAGGCGGAAUUCGUGGUGUAGCGGUGAAAUGCUUAGAUAUGACGAAGAACCCCGAGUGCGAAGGCAGCUUGCUGCAGCGGAACUGACGCUGAUGCUCGAAAGCGCGGGUAUCGAACAGGAUUAGAUACCCUAGUAGUC
Molecule: ribosomal RNA, 460 nt
Filed under: uncultured bacterium
Lineage: Bacteria
Description: partial 16S ribosomal RNA
Rfam family: Bacterial small subunit ribosomal RNA
Source: RNAcentral